Anas platyrhynchos (mallard) is the source of this 3891-nucleotide long non-coding RNA. RefSeq lists it as uncharacterized. NCBI's taxonomy places the organism in Eukaryota, Metazoa, Chordata, Aves, Anseriformes, Anatidae. The record is from RefSeq and is a predicted model, not a curated record.
CCCAAUUCCAAGAAUACUGCCUGCACAUCCAGCAAGCUCUCUUGGACAUGGACAUUUCCUUUGGCUCUAAAGUACCAAGUCCACAAAAUACCAUAUAAGUGCAUGAAAUGUUCAGGUUUUUUAUUUUUUUUUUCUUCAAAAAGAAAACUUUAAUCAUUGUAAAGCUCAGUCCAGACGUUAAUAUAUAUUUCCUUUAAGGCUAGUAAGGACAGGUGGCCGUUCUGUGCACAUUGCACAUCUGCAAAUAAGGCAGAUCUGGCAAGCAAUUUUAAGUUGUCUCUCAUUUCCCACCCAGAUAUCUCGCAGCUGUGGAUGAAGGCUAGUUGAAGAUAAGCAUGUUUUUAAAGCGGUACCUUUGAUAAAGAAAGACAAAGCUAAACACUUGCAUUAGAACCUCACCAGUGCAAUAAACUGAAUAGUACCAGGAUUAAUCCUCUGAACGAAUGUGGAAAAGUCAGAGGAAUUUGCCCAUACAUCUAAAACUGCUGAGCAGAGUUUUCUUUCCACGUUCUCACCCGUCACCUCUACCCUAGUCUGAAGCUUGAAGACAUCGGGUUCAACGCGACAUUAUUAUUUCAUGAUGUGUUGUCCUGCAUUGAGGCUGUUAGCAGACUAUGCAUGAAGCAAAGAACCCUUGUUUUCCAGAUGAGGAAUGGACAGCUCACAACUCUUAGGAUAACAACGCUCCCCAUUUCUGCAAUACUACUAACAAGAACACCAGCAUGCUUAAUACCUUGGGCAAAGUCUGCCUCAGAGACAUGCAGGUCCUCUUGAAUGCAUUAAAGAGUAUGGAUGUGGUUCUUUUUGCACAGCCAGCCCGCUCUACUUGCAUUUCAGCAGCAGGCAAUGUCUGUGGUGGGAAACACAGCAGCCUUUCCCAUUCUGUGCCACCAGGGUUACACAAAGGAAGGGAAGUGAGGAAUACGUCAUCCCACUGAAACUACAGAGAAAAUGCAGGAAGAAAGAAAAACAUCUGAGCUGGAACAGAGCCAUGUCUCAGAGGUUAACACCCUACUUUGGUGAAAAGUGCCGUAGACACAAUGAUUAACAAAAAUGGUCAAGGCCUCGUGUUUCAUUCAAAAGAAGGUAUUCAGAGAAAUCCCCUUCUUUCCAGGCACACAAAAGUUCUGGGUAAAAACGUGCCACAAAGAGGAUACCUUUUUUGGUUAGAAAGUCUUCACAAAAAUGUGGCAUGUGUCAGAAUCCAGUGAGGAAAUCAAUGAAUAAUUCUCAGCCUAUGGCUUAUUUGUGAAUCAUUUGUUUACAUACUUUCCUAUGGAUUACUCAUGUCGUGCGGUUGAUUGCUUGGGGCUUUGUUUUCACUGCAGAAGGGGUCUGUUCUCCACUUGGAGGUACCUGGAUCAGUUUUCCUCCCCCAGCUUCAUUUAUCCUUGGGUUUCAAGUUAGAAACUGCCGUGUCUUGCCUCUAUUAGGAUUUAUACUGGGAUAGCCAGCUGGAGAAAGAUAGCUAUUUUAAUGGAAAAAACCACUGGGCUUGUGUUUGUUUUUUGUUUGCUUUGCAGCGAACAUGUCAUUUUUGUCCAAGACAUUGUUUCAGCUCCCUAAUUGAAUGACGGAAAUUUUUAAAGCAGAACAAUGAAAUGCCAUUCUUCUGAAAAAAAAUAAUCUGGUUGUCAUCCAGCUAUUUGCAAAUAAUUCUGAUUGCAGAAGCCAGAGUAAGACAAACUCAUUAAAGUAUUUGUGAGUACAUUUGACAUUUUGUAUUUUUCAAUAGAUUCUACCUACUACCACACUUGGGCAUUGCUGUGUGCAGAGAAGGGAAGCCACUUCCCAGCCAGCAUCACCAGUUUCUCACCCAUUUGAUCCUACUCAGUAAAUAAAGCCAUGUGCUGUAGCAGUUCAGCUUUCCUCUAUCUUAUGCUACAUGAAGCUUUAACUAAUUCUGAUAGGAAACAAGAUAUCUAGGGGUUAGCAGGAGGCCCAGCUAAAAAUAUAUGUGAAUUAAAAGCUCACUUUCAAAAUGUUUUUCUAGUUAUUUAAGGUCUGCUUGUCAAGUGAGGUAGCAUUCAGCAGUGAGCUGGAUCUCAGAAUCUCAGCCUUAGUCAUUUCUGCUUAAUGCAAUAACCACUUGAAUGAAAUAGUUUAUUUCCUGGCAAAGGGCUUAACAGAGAAAUUAGGCUGUGCUCUGGCAUGGCACUUAAAUUGGCUUCCAGAAAGCUCAUGAUUAUCUUCUGAAGCCAGCUGAGCCAAGAGUCUGUUCUUUCUCAGUGUUUCUUGGUCUGUUCUCUCCUUUUCAUACCAGUUCUGCAGAGCAUUUCAAGCUGAUGAUUGGGUCUGCUUGGGAAACUGCCCUAAUUUGGUUCAGGACAUCACUUCUGUUCUUUUUGUAGCUUCAUUUUGUUGCCGCAGACGUCUUGUGCAGAUGUAGGAACCCUGAUCAUCACCUUCUGAGAAAAAGGACUCAAGUUCUUAACAGACUACUAAUAAUCACAGUUAUUAUUGAGUAUCUUUCCCAUCUACUGGUCCACUUGGUUACUCUUCCAAAAGAACCAAACUUCACCAUUUUGUUCUAGUAUAACUCACACUGAAUUCCAUGGGAAGAUCCAUAUUGACUUGAGCGUCUCUGGGUUAUGGUCCAUGUCUAGGAAGGUAUUUUCAUGUUAUGAUACUCCUCAUAGCUUAAGAAAUAAGUGCUUAGUUCGGGGAACAUAAUUCACAGUGCUGAGUUUGGUCCUUACAUUCCCUCUACAGUAGAUAGCAGAAGUUUAAAGUAGGCACUUACUUUAAAAAAUUUAAUUAACAUUUUCAGCUUCUACAAAGGGAAUCAUGUCUCACUGCUAGCAGUUAGGUAAUGUUAUCAUUAUUCCAGGACACAUUAGCAUCUUAGCAGAGAAGCCAAUAUUCAGCCAGUGUAUUAAGGAAAUUACCUUCUCUCCCUGAGAGCUUGUCCCUCCAGAUAAAGACUGGCGCAUGUGGGAUGGAGGAGAUGCUAAAACUUGCAUUGUUGCUGCCUGUGCAGUUCUUGUUUUUAAUCAUGCCCAGAAAGACACAUUAUUCUGUAAACAUGAGUUUAUGGGAAGAGCAACCUGACUAUGUAAAAGAGAAAACACCUUUCAUUAUCAACAUAAUAGACUGAGCACAGAGGACUGCAGGGUGAGUUUCUCCUGUCCUUGAGACACAUCCUCUAAAGGUGAAGAGGUAGGUCAACUCCCUACCCUUUAGUUUUCAGUCUAUUAGCUUGGAAAUGCAUGUAAGUGCCCCAAAACGCAAGGCAGUGUGAGCUUUGUGACAUGUUCCCAGCUAGGGAAACGGGACCGCAAGUGUGAAACAUUUCUUUAGCGUGCUUCUGGCCAGCCAUGAACUCAUUACAACUUGCAGUCUCGAAGUGAGUCACCAGGAGGUGAAAAACUUCAAAUCACAUUGACUAAUCCCUUGGGCUGAUCAGGCCCUUUCCUCUCUUGGGCACGAGUGAAAAAAAUUAGAUUUUCCAGAAUGCUUGGAACAACAUCUCCAUCUAAAUGUUUCUGCAUGUACAGGCAAAAUAUGCAAAACCCUUAGAGCACUGACAGAAAAGUCCGGAGGAAUGUGAGCUAUUUAAAAGGGACAGAGUGUUACAGAGAUUCCUUCUUGAAAUGGAUGAAGUCUACUUGAGAAAAAGACCCUUUCUAUGGUUUGUUCCAUCAUCCUAUAGAAGCCCAUGAUGGGAAUACAAAGCUGUUUAAAGCGUGAUCAAAAGCAAUCGAUCAAAAGUGAUUUGAAGUUCAUAAAAUGGCUUAUUCUCUAUUCCCUAACAAGAAGACAGUGAGUUGAGGGAAGCAAACAGCAGCAGCAGCAUGGUGCCAUAAGAGAGGUGCUUCAGCCCUGAUCGGAGCUGCUGACAGCUCCCAAGAAGUUUUUGUGCUGUUGGUCAGCACUGACUUCCAAAACCGG